CAACCCUCAAGCUCAGCUUGGUAUUGGGCUCGCCCUUUAUGGGCCUGCCUCAAAAUCAGUGGCGGCUCCGUCCAGUCUCAAGCGCAGUAAUACUCGUCGCUUGUUAGGCUUGAUCGGCGGUUUGCCAGCAACCCCCAAUUUUACAA
RNAcentral lists this unclassified non-coding RNA (146 nucleotides) under uncultured Coccomyces. Its description in RNAcentral is "sequence contains ITS2". The record is from RNAcentral. Lineage: Eukaryota; Fungi; Ascomycota; Leotiomycetes; Rhytismatales; Rhytismataceae.